UACCCUGGUAGUCCACGCCGUAAACGAUGAGUGCUAAGUGUUUAGGGGGUUUCCGCCCCUUAGUGCUGCAGCUAACGCAUUAAGCACUCCGCCUGGGGGAGUACGGUCGCAAGACUGAAACUCAAAGGAAUUGACGGGGGGCCCGCACAAGCGGUGGAGCAUGUUGGUUUAAUUCGAAGCAACGCGAAGAAACCCUUACCAGGUCUUGACAUCCUCUGACAACCCUAGAGAUAGGGCUUUCCCUUCGGGGACAGAGUGACAGGUGGUGCAUGGUUGUCGUCAGCUGUGUCGUGAGAUGUUGGGUUAAGUCCCGCAACGAGCGCAACCCUUGAUCUUAGUUGCCAGCAUUUAGUUGGGCACUCUAAGGUGACUGCCGGUGACAAACCGGAGGAAAGGGGGGAUG
Molecule: ribosomal RNA, 403 nt
Filed under: Bacillus pumilus
Lineage: Bacteria; Bacillati; Bacillota; Bacilli; Caryophanales; Bacillaceae
Description: bacterial SSU rRNA
Rfam family: Bacterial small subunit ribosomal RNA
Source: RNAcentral